RNAcentral lists this long non-coding RNA (1535 nucleotides) under Ananas comosus (pineapple). RNAcentral describes it as "long non-coding RNA (ACOM_LNC023065)". The record is from RNAcentral. Lineage: Eukaryota; Viridiplantae; Streptophyta; Magnoliopsida; Poales; Bromeliaceae.
AUAGGUGAGACUUUUGUCCUUAAACUUCAAUUUGUUAUGCUUUCUAAUUUAAAUUUUUAGAAUUAUUGCAAUCAAGUCUUGCAAUUCAAUUUAAUUGACAAAAUUUUAUUAUACUGCUGAUGUAAAUAUGAUGUAAUAUUUUAAUUAUUAACGCAUCUUUAAUUACAAUAUUAUUAUAUCACCUUCGCAUUAACGAUAUAUCAAUAUUUAGUCAAUUAAAUUAGCUUAUCGGCCUUGAUUACAAUAAUUCUGAAAGUUUGAGCCAAAACUUAUUAAAAAUUAAAGUUUGAGAACCAAAGAGGCACUUGCCUCGUAGCUUGAGUACCAAAUGCGUGCAAUUUACCCUAAUAAAUAUUUACACUAUGAUAGCAUGCUACUCUUCAUUAAAAUUAGAAAAAACUUCAAAUACUACUCAUGUGGUUUCGUACUUUUUUAUUUUAGUACUCUGUAAUUUAAAGUGUAUCAAUUUAAUAUCCCAUGGUUUUACUUUUCUCUUUUUAUUAUCUCCUCCACUAUUUUUUUCGUUAAAUCUAUGACAAAGUUAAAAUUAAAAGGUAGUAAAAUGAAUCUAGGUGGAGUAUCAAUAAAUCUAGGCGGAGUAUCUGAAGUUUUUUGUAUAUAAUUUAACGAAAUGUUAACAGUGGAGCUGACGAAAAAAGAAAAAUGAAACCGCGGGAUACCAAAUUAUUACACUUUAAAUCACAAGGUACUAAAGUGAGAAAGUGUGAAACUACAGAGGUGGUAUCUGAAAUUUACCCUUAAGGGUGCGUUUGGUUCGCGCUAUCUUUUAAAGAUUCCUAGUAAUCCAAUGAGAAUAAAAAAAAUAUGACGGUGUUUAGCUAAAUCUAGUUGGUAAUAUGGGAUUCACUUGGGAAUAAAAUUCAUCCCAAAGUACUAAUCUCAUUCCCUUGAGGGAUGGUGGGUAUUCUCAUAUUAAUGGAUUAGGGUAAUCAUAAUAUGUCUAAUCUCUUUCUUUCUUCCUACCUGCCGGCUAAUUGAUAUUAUUUUUCUUUACACUCUAACCUUAUAUCUCUUUCUAAACUUAUUUUUCUCUCUAAAAUUCAACCUUUUUUUUUCUCUCUAAACUAAGCUUUCUCUCUCUCUCACUUUCUAAAAUUUCAACUCUAUCACUCCCUCUAAUUUCGACUAUAUUUUUCUUUCUAUUUUUUUAAUUAUGCUCUCUCUCUAACUUAUACUCUCUCUCCCUUUUUUCUAAAAAGAUGUUGAAACUUUUGAUAACAUUAUUUAAAAUUAAAUAAAUAAAUUAAUUAAUUAAUUAUAUAUUUUUUGUAAUAUUAAAUAACAUGGCUAAUUAAUAUUACCGUGCGAACCAAAUACAGGAAUUCUACAUUCUUAGUAAUAGGAUGAAUAGAAAUAAGAUUCUCGGAUAUCUUUUAUUCCUAAUAAUUUUUCAUAAUACGAACCAAACGCACCCAAAGGGGGAAGAUAUAUACCCGCACAAAAUCUAUUCCUAGAGGCAGCAAUUCCAAACCAGAUAUUAAAAUUGUGCUCUCUUCAUGACUUAUCCUUUACCC